AAUAAUAAGUAACUUUGCAGAUUUUUAUGGGGAGCUUCUCCCAAGCAUAAGGGGCAGCAUAGGAGAAAGUACAAAGGUACUUGUUUGAAAUUUUAAUAAAUGGGUGAUGGAAGCUGGCAUCAUGGGCUAAUGGCAGGUGGGUAUUGUAAGCUUGGUUGU
Dermochelys coriacea (leatherback sea turtle) is the source of this 159-nucleotide long non-coding RNA. RefSeq lists it as uncharacterized. The transcript is spliced from 3 exons. NCBI's taxonomy places the organism in Eukaryota, Metazoa, Chordata, Testudines, Dermochelyidae. The record is from RefSeq and is a predicted model, not a curated record.